GAGCAGUUUGCCAAACAGCGAAUGCGAAUUCCAGAGUUCGACAUGGAACAAUGACAUCAUCGUCCACCGAGAAUAUAGCAUCAGUUCUAAGAUCCGUAAUAUAAAAAAUCUCGUAGCUUGUAAGAAGGUGGAUCGUUUUCACUCCAAACGACGUGAAUCGCAUCGGUCCCUUGACAGGAUGCAUAGUGCGCAACAGACUGUUUAAGUAAUGUAUUUCUCUUCCAAGUAUUGAUAACAACAGUGUACCCACCCCUGGAAAAAAAAAAACCUAGCUUAGUUUCUCUCUUAGUAACACACUGUUUCAAUUAAACCGAAAAUUGCAUGACAUUUGCCAAAUGAAGUGAAAUUUCAAUAAAUAAAUAUUUAACUUAAUAGAAAUUCCACACAACCACCAUCAUCAGAACAAAUAAAUUAAUCCAAAACCCUAAAAUAAUGAGAAAAAAAAAAUUCAGAUCAAUACCAAGUUAAACCUAACCAAUCAACAUUUAACGGUGUUUGCACCGUGACUCGUCGGAACGCCGAGAAAUCGGUGGGAUGGGCGAGACGGAGCCACGGAACGGCCCCGACGCGGCCGGAACGGCACCGGAACGGUGCCGGAACAGGAAAAAAGAAUUUGAAAAAAAAAACAAAUUUAACUAAAAAAAAUAAGGAAAAAAAACAUAAAAGAAAAAAAAUAAUAUGAUGGUGGUGGGGUUAGAUAAUGAAGAUUCUCCUGAAUCACAAAUCUUUGGCUUCACUCUUCAAUUAUAUCUUACACAAUUCUAGCUCGGUAUUCUACUUGGUAUUAAUAUUGCUUAUAUUUUCAUAAUAUUCUUUGUAAUAUUUAUUUUUUAAAUUAUAAUAAUAUUUUUCAUAUUAUUGAAUUGUAAUUGUGUUAUUAAAAACAUAUUUGAAUUAUAUUAUAUUUUUUUAACAAUUUAAUUAAAAUGUGUCCGUUCCGCCGCGAUGCAGCCGCGACGUUGCAAUGGAACUGGAACAACAGUGUCCGCGACAAUGCACUGUUCCGCUCCGGCGAACCAUGGGUAAAUGAGGGUUCCAUCCCAUAAAUGGCUAAUCUUAUUAUAACGGCGUUAGCCACGUAAUCACAACGGGGAUUCUAACUCUGUGGACCCCACCAUCUUCUGCUGCCUCACCAACCUCUUCGGUUGAUGUGGCUUCCCAUAAGGACUCGCAUGCACACAAAGGGAAGGGCAAAAUUGUUGACGACGAUGACUCCGAUACACCGCCACUUUCGGCCCCGCUUCGCCGCUCUCGCCGCCGUGCUCCUCCGCCGCCCACUACUGGUGCCUCUACCUCUCGUGCUCGGGCUGCCGCUGUUGACUCGGAUCUCACUCUGCCCAUCUCUGUCGCUGAUGCUUUCAGUCAUCGUUUCUUUUUACCCUCGCACCAAUCUCGGUGGUAUUUGGUAAGUCAACGCUCUCUUGCUUCUGAACGUCCCUUGGGGCCCGCCUUUGCUCGACUAUUUUACCGCCCUUGCUCAGAAAGGGGGAGUUGGCAACGAAGCAUCUCAUACAGGGGGAGUUGCUCAUACAGGGGGAGUUACUGCUGGAACUGGUGUUCCAACUGUUCCAACAGUUGAUGAUGCAGUUGAUGAUGCAGCAACUGAGGAUAAUACAGAUGAUGAAGGGGAGUUGUUCGUUGAUGCUGAAGACAUUCUAGACUAAUGUUUUUUUUAUUAUUUUAUUUGUUUUCUGAACAAUGGCUUGUAAUAGUCUGAUAGGCUUAACCUUGUUCUCCUUUCGACUGUUGCUUUGUUUUGAACUGUUCUAACAGUUACUCUAUUAUGCAGCGUAAUUUUUUUUUUUUUGUCAGGUACUUGAUUAAGGGGGAGGACUUGAUUAUAAUAAAUAGAUGACAAAGGGGGAGAUUGUUAGAAUGCGGGAGGAUUCUAAUUUCGGUUUUUCAACACGAGUGUGAAAAACGUGUUUACAGCUAGGGAAGUUUCCUUAGUUCUUUUAACUCUUAUUUUGUCAUUAAUUUAUUUAAUUGCCUAAGUGUUUUGUUAACUAGGAAUUUUCUUUUGAAAAGAAUUUACUUUGUUACACAACUCCUAUUUUCCUUACGUGAUAUAAAAUAUAACCUAAUGGGCUCCACUUUUUGUAGGGCUCUACUAAUUCACCUAAGGAAGUAUAAGAAGGGGAGCAUCAACGUUGUUUUAAGUGGUCCCUUUUAUUUUGAGAGAAAAAAUCCUUUCUGCUCUUACGUUGCUGCCCCAGACCUUUGAUCUUAAUCCGAGAAGAAAAUACAGAGAAAGGGUUUGCUUCUUUCACCGAAAAGAAGAUCGGUUCUUCGGGAGGAGAAUUCAGAAGAUCAUGGGAGGAGGUCGAUCCGCCGACUGAGGGACUCAGCGUUGAAGGAAUUUCAACCGUGCGGAAAGGGACGUGCUGCAAAGUGAAGAUUGACAAUUCAGCGUAGGAUACAAGAACGACGUCGACAAAGAGGGAGUCUUUGCAUUUUCGAUUAAGUCCUAUUACUGUAUUCGUAAAACUAAAAAUUAGUGAAUUUCAUUUGCAGGUCCCCGUGGAUGUAUGGUACAAUUGUAUCCGAACCACUUUAAAAUUUGUGUCUUUUUAUUACUGUUCCAUUAACUGUUGCAACUCUUCGUAAAACAGUAGAACAGUAGCUAAAACUGAAUCUGGAAUUUAUCGGACACAAAUUUAUAAUUAAUUUGCACGAAAUAAUUCUAACAGAGACUAAAUUCAUUCAACCAAUGCAUACGAGGAACAAAUCCGACCAUCGUAAGAUCGAGGAGCAGUUUGCCAAACAGCGAAUGCGAAUUCCAGAGUUCGACAUGGAACAAUGACAUCAUCGUCCACCGAGAAUAUAGCAUCAGUUCUAAGAUCCGUAAUAUAAAAAAUCUCGUAGCUUGUAAGAAGGUGGAUCGUUUUCACUCCAAACGACGUGAAUCGCAUCGGUCCCUUGACAGGAUGCAUAGUGCGCAACAGACUGUUUAAGUAAUGUAUUUCUCUUCCAAGUAUUGAU
RNAcentral lists this long non-coding RNA (2982 nucleotides) under Erythranthe guttata (spotted monkey flower). Its description in RNAcentral is "long non-coding RNA (EGUT_LNC003528)". The record is from RNAcentral. Lineage: Eukaryota; Viridiplantae; Streptophyta; Magnoliopsida; Lamiales; Phrymaceae.